CGUAAGCUACCUGUAGACGGAUAGCCAUCAAACUGGGAAAUGCGGGGAAUGCAGUGCGAAUCUGCAACUGACGCGCAACGGUGACACGCUAUUUUGCGUUAAGUCCGGAUACCGCGUUUUGCCUUGGAAGGC
This 132-nucleotide non-coding RNA is filed under the name Corynebacterium kroppenstedtii. The record is from RNAcentral. Lineage: Bacteria; Bacillati; Actinomycetota; Actinomycetes; Mycobacteriales; Corynebacteriaceae.